Molecule: long non-coding RNA, 522 nt
Filed under: Rosa chinensis
Lineage: Eukaryota; Viridiplantae; Streptophyta; Magnoliopsida; Rosales; Rosaceae
Description: sRNA RchiOBHm_Chr4g0414831
Source: RNAcentral
AUGAAGGUUAUUUUGAUUAUUACAAUGGUGGUGAUCAUGACUAACCAGGGAGGCAAUUCAGGUGGACGGAUCGGAGGAGGUUAAGAUAUGUAAGAUCUUUGAGAUUUCUUUAGACUUUUACUCGGAGAGUGUUAAUGAUUCACCAACUGACAAAGUCUUGUGUUCCUACUUGAGUAAUAUAGAGCUCUUAAUUAAUCAUCCGGCUAAAUGCCAGUUAGGAUAUGAAAGAAGAAACAGCUCAGAGCCACUAUCCCGCUCAACACUAUAUACAGGCUGAUAUGAACUGAGGAUCUUCUUACCAGGGAGACUAUUGGUCGGGGAGAUCUGAGGGGGAGGUUGUUCCAUUUGGACCAGAUGUAUGCAGGGAAGAAACCAGGGAAGAUGGCCCCAAUCGCUUUGAUUUCGAGUUCUGAGCAGUUGAGUGAGUUGUGGUUAUGGCAUCGUCGCUUAGGACAUCCUUCAUUUAGUAAUAUGAAAAAGUCUAUGCCUUCUUUGUUUUUGGGCAUUAAUGAUUCUUCUCUU